Molecule: non-coding RNA, 76 nt
Organism: Cervus elaphus (red deer)
Lineage: Eukaryota; Metazoa; Chordata; Mammalia; Artiodactyla; Cervidae
Source: the annotation of a RefSeq genome assembly
GGCUUGGUAGUCCAGUGGUUAAGACUCUGUGCUUCCAACGCAAGGGGCCCAGGUUCGAUCCCUGGUCAAGGAACUA